Molecule: long non-coding RNA, 270 nt
Filed under: Bos taurus (domestic cattle)
Lineage: Eukaryota; Metazoa; Chordata; Mammalia; Artiodactyla; Bovidae
Description: long non-coding RNA NONBTAT004109
Source: RNAcentral
CCAAAAUCAAAUGCUGAUUUUUACAAAAAGGCAUCAAAGUUUAAUUUUUUAAAAGUCGACUGAACUAGGUUGGAUUGAAACCAGAGCCUAUGCAUUAUUAAAAUAAUUGAAUUGGGAAUCAAAAUAUCAGACUGAACUCCAGUCAGAACACUGUACAGUCUUGAUUGUGGAUGACAGCUUCCUCCGCUAUAAGCUAAAUUGGACUCUGUGAGGGAAAUGGCAGUUAUGCUAUCAAACAGCGAAAUGAUGAGGCUCACAGGAUUAGCCUUC